Perognathus longimembris pacificus (Pacific pocket mouse) is the source of this 2573-nucleotide long non-coding RNA. RefSeq lists it as uncharacterized. The transcript is spliced from 3 exons. NCBI's taxonomy places the organism in Eukaryota, Metazoa, Chordata, Mammalia, Rodentia, Heteromyidae. The record is from RefSeq and is a predicted model, not a curated record.
UGUUAGCCUUGAGCAAAAGAAGCCAGGGACAGUGCCCAGGCCCUAAGUUCAAGCCCCAGGACUGGUAGGGGAAAAAAAGAAAGAAAAAUUGAAUGGGGAGGGGUCAGAAGAGACGGCUACUGAGUUAUUUUCACUUGCAUGACCUUCUGGCCUUUUUAAUUCUGCAUUUUAUAUAUGCAGACAACAAUACAGAAAUACGUAAAAUAACUACAGGAAAAGUCCUAGUUCAAUGGCAAGAAGACAGAAUGACAGACAGAAUACUUCCAGCUAAACUUCUCUGGCCCCAAGAAAAUUCUGAGAGAUCCUUGCUGCAACAGCCAUGUCUUCUUCACCCUUCUCCAUCACGGAGCACAGGGCCUAGCAUGGAUUAGCGACUCAGGGAAAGUCCACACAAAAUGUCUCUUCCCCCAGUGUGGGCCAAUGGAUGGAUGAUGCAGAGUAAGACAAAUUUCAGCAUGGUUUAAAAAUUACUAAUAGUUUGUCCAAACAGGAAAUAAGUUGAUGAGACAGAUUGUGAGCUUCCCAUCAGAGAAGUAGUCAAGCACGUUAUUAGAUUAUGGUUUGCUGAGGAAUACAGCACAAGGACUACCGUACCAGGCAGUCAGGCAAGACAGGGAUUGGCAAGCUUCUCCCACACAGAAAGUAUUUUAGGCACUAGGUCACAGACAGUUCCUGUCAUAUUUUCUUCUCUCUUUUUAAUAAGAAAACCUGGGUGGGGGGGGGGGGAAUCAUCCUUAGUUCAUGACUAACAGAAAAGCCAAGGGUAGGGUGUGGCCUACAGGUGUAGCUUGCCAACCCACAGACGGGACGGAUCUUCUUUGUUGUUUUGGUAAGCUCUGAAGGGGCCAGUUCGGCAUGUUGCAGGCUGACUAUUUUACAGCACAGUAGAAAUCAGAAAGGUCUGUUGAGGUCAAAGCAGACUGCAAGGCCAGAUUCAAAGGCCACAUUGGCGUGCAGCUUGUAAUGACAGAGAGACAGAUGGGUGAGUUCGUUUUGUUUGUUUUUGAGAUGGACUGUUGCUGCUUAAGUACCUCAGGAUGGCUUCAAAACAUCAUCUUCCUGCCUCAGCCUCCGAAGUGCUGGAAUUAAAAAUGUGCACUCCCAUAUCUAACUCGUACAUCUAUAAUAAACUGGUAAAUCCAGUGUACAAGGGAGCACUUUCAUACUUCCACCCAGGCAUCAGCCUCAUUAAAUCAAGAUGAAGCGCACUUGAGUUUAUUGAGAGUCACCACAAGCUCGAGCCGUCCUGUCCCCACGCCUCCAGCGGUUUCCCUCAUGCUUUCCCAGGGCUCCACACUUGCCUCCAGCUUCAAUACUCAGCUCACGGCUCUGCCACCCCUCCAGCUCUGCUUGCUGCUCAGGAAACCAGAGCUGCCUGAUGCUCCCGCUGCCGGCCCCUCCUCUCAGCUGCAUGGCGAGCGGUCCGCUCCUCCCUCACUGUUCUCACGCCUGCCCGGCUAGUGUGAAACCUCAGCUCAGAGGCAUGUCAGCCUCCCCAGAGCUCUCCCACCACCGCCACCCUGCCCUUCUCUCCUCCCCCGGAUUGGCAACAGGCCAACACUUCUGAAUGCACACACUUCCACAUUUGGCAUUCUCGACAUCCCUAGUCCCUGGCAGAGGGGCUCUCAAAUGUCAUUAAGAUGAACUCUAGAACCCUUUCUGGGUAUCUUCCCCAAGAGACAGUGUCACUGUGACUGAAAGGGCAAACUCCAGUUGCGCAUUCCGUGGAAGGGCUGGAGUAAGAAACCCUAAGGAAUACAUGGGGGCAAGCCGCAUGGCGCAGAAGCUCUAUGAUCUAUUGCCACCUGGGCUCCUGUUCUGGGAAGCAGGCACAACUAAAGUCAGAGAGAGCAUAGCAGCUCUGAAGGGAAGGUGAUGAGCUGAGCCCCUCAUCUGUGGGCCCUGAGGAUGGCACUCGGGGCAGGCUAAGCCCAGGAGCCAGAGCAGGGGUCAUAGGCACAGACAGCCUUGAGGUCACCGCUUGGAGAAAACUGGCACUUCUGGGAAAAGGUCAGCACACAAGCAGGAUGAGGGCAGGAAGGGAAGGACGACCUCAGGAAAGCCAGAGGGGCUAAGAAGUGAGAGGAUGGGGCGGGGGUGGAGGGGCCUGGGCGAGGCAGAGGUCUGAGACCCAUGGGGAAAGCCAAUUUGGGUGAGUAGUGGAAGGAAGCAGGAAGAGAAGCCUGAUGCGGGGGAGAAGCACUACCUGGGCAGAGAGCAGGCCUGAGGGAGAGGAAACAGAGGACACUAAAGAUGGGAAGGCCAAUGACAGUAAGGAGAUGCAACAAGGCAAAGGAGACGGGAUCAGGGGCUUGGAGAAGCACAGGGCCCACCUUCGCUGGCUAGCUGGAACAAAACUGACAGAGGUUAGAAGAGGAAGCAGAAACGCCCCAAGUGACAUUUGCAACAUAAUGAAGUAAAAGACAGGAGAGACGGAGAGGAGGAACCAGAACAGGGGCACACAGGAACUGGGCAGGCCAACUGCUGAGGCCGCAUGGGGCACAGAGGGCCUGGUUGCCUAGAAGAGGACACAGUGUGACUGUGACAAGAGCAUGCCACCUACACUGUCCCUG